Molecule: long non-coding RNA, 3895 nt
Filed under: Medicago truncatula (barrel medic)
Lineage: Eukaryota; Viridiplantae; Streptophyta; Magnoliopsida; Fabales; Fabaceae
Description: long non-coding RNA (MTRU_LNC002197)
Source: RNAcentral
CAGUCCCAAGAUGUGACACAAUUCAUGCUGUGGCAGAAGCUGAAACUUGCUCCAGCAUCUUUCAGAAGUUCAACCUACUUGAAGCACACUUCCUUGAGAUCAAUCCUAACAUUAACUGCGUUGGCAUAUUUGUGGGCCAAUGGGUGUGUGUUGAGGGUGAAGUGAAUUGAGUUGUACCUGCUAUCAAACUUAAUUAGAUAUAAGUCUAAUGGAAUAUAUGUGCAAUAAGGAGAGAAACCAACCUUUCUCCAUACUUAUCUAUAUGAUAUGUAAUAUGUUCUAAUGAAUGAAUGUGAAUGAAAUUACGUACUCCACUUAUCUUUGCUGAUUGCAGUCGAUUAUGAUUGUCCAAAUCCCCUGUGUCAUGGGUCGUAAUCCCCUCUGUUUUCAAUCUUAUUGUCAAUAGUUGAAAAUCAUCACUUUAAGUCGUUGGGAUCACACUUUAUUCAUCUGGAUCGUAAUAUUCGGAACCCUUACAUUAUGGUGAAAAUUUCAAUAUAUAGACUUAAUUUUGCAUUGUGCAUGCGCGCCACAUGUGCCACCUAAGUUGGCUUGGCAUGUUUUGAACUAUCAGUACGCGAACACAUACACAUGUAUCACACACAAACUUCACACCUGAGGCGCGUGUGUCUCAAGCUUCUUCACUUGAUGACUUCACUCUUUAUGAAAAAAUAACAUUUCACAUCUGAAUGAGACUUGAGAUAGAAUUUCCUCAAGUUGUUUGGACUUCAUCUCUUCACUUUGACUGGUCUUUAUACCUCUGUAACAUCCACAAGAUAUUUCAUGAUCAGAUCAACCCACUAGUAUGUUCCAAAAAGACUAUGACAUCUUAUAUGGUUGUGUGGUUAGGGAGAUACAAGACAUACAAUGACUUAAUUCAAAACCAUACAGACUCUUUCACAAACUAUUAGUAACUCACUAGAAUACAUAGGCUACAUGCUAGUGUUUGGUAAAAAUAGCGGAUAGCUGAUAGCUUUUAGCUGGUAAGCUAGCUGAUAGUUUUUAGCUGAUAAGCUAACUGAAGUGUUUGAUAAAAAUAGCGGUUCAACUAGCUGAUAAAUGUAAAAUGACAUAAAGGGUAUUCUUAAUUCAUAAUAAAAAUUAUAUCAUUAAUUUAAGUAUUUGUAAUUUUGUAAACUAAUUUUUCUUUAAAAAAAUACUUUAAAUUUAUUAAUUUAAUAUAUCCUAUGUAUUAUAAAUUAAAUUAAAUUUUAUUCACUAAAAUUUUAUCUUAUAUUUAUUAUCAUUUAAGUGUUUCCACUUAGAAAAUAACAUUUACCUCAAAAAUAAAAAAAAGGUAGCACUAAUAGAGUAAUACUAAUAACAGAGAAUAAAGAAAAUAACACUUACCUCAAAAAAAAAAAAAAGUAACACUAAUAGAAUAAUGGUAUUUUGUUUCGUAAAAAAAAAACGAAGGUAUAUAUUUUUUCAAAAAAAAAAAAAAAAGGACAGCUGAUAUAUAUACAAAAAUUGGAAUAAAGGGAUAGUAGUCUUUAUUACGUAGCUUAUUAUAAAAAUUAUAAUGGAUAAAAAUACAAUUUAAAUGAAAUAAUAAGGGUAAAAUUGGAAGAAAAAGUGAGAAGCUAUAAGCUAUAAACUCAAACGCUACUUGGAAUAGCUUCUGAAAAACAGCUUAUAAGCUAUAAGCUCAUGGUGAAAAAGUGUUACCAAACAGAGUUUUUUUUGUCAAACGAGCUUAUAAGCUAUAAGCUAAAAGCUCUUUUUUGGGGUUUCCCAAAGAGACCCUAUAAAGACUUUUUAAAACAUGAAAAUACAUGUUAUGACAAUGAGUCAUAAAAAUCCGUAAUACCAUUCUAUUUAUCAAUAACAUGGCGUCCCCGUGAGCAUAGCUCAGUUGGCAGGGACAAUGCAUUGUUAUAUGCAGGGGCCGGGGUUCGAACCCCGAACACCCCACUUAUUCACCUUAUAAGGUGAAUUCUAGCCACUAAGCUACCUCUGACAAAAAAAAAAAAACAUGGCUGACAAGCAUAUGAAAUUUUGUUCUACACUUAGACGUUGCAGCAUCUCCAAACAUCACUUGGUAACUUAAGCAUAUUAAAGGAGACAUAAUCAGAUUUCAACAUAGCACUUAUUGAACUUGUUUUAAUUUUGUUUUCUCUUAUCGCAUGAAUCCCAUUGUUACCAUGUUCUUCUCACUAAUUUAAAUGUUUGAUUUUGUUCUUCUCACUAUUUUACUGUGAAAAUUUGUCCACCGUUCUCAAUUAUGCAUAUCGUAUUGAAGUAUUUGUUAUAAUAAUUAAUAUACAAAGGGUUAUCAUAGUCGAUUCUUGUGCAAUAGAGUCACAAGAUAUACAAGAAUGAUUGAAUGAAGAAGCAUUAGGGCAUUCAAAAAAAUAAUAAAAAUAUGAAUUAUCGUAUGUGACAAGACAUAUUGAUAUAGUAAUAUUUAGGCUUAAAUAUGUAUUUGAUCCUUGUAAUUAGGGAUCGUUUAAAAAUUGGUCCCUGUAUUCGCUAAUCAUUGCAAACUAGCCUUGCAAUCAUUAAUCAUUUAAAAUUUAGUCCUUUGACCAACUUAAUCACUACCACGUCACUAAUUUGAUGACGUGGCAAUCACUGCCAAACAUGAAAUUCCAAUUUUGCCCUUAAGAAGAGGACAAAAUAUUGAAGAAAGAAUUGAAAAAUCAGGGGUAAAAUUGGAAUUUCAUGUGGCGUGGCAGUGAUUAAGUGGGGAGAGGGACGAAAUUUUAAAUGAUUAAACAAUGCAGGGGUAAAUUUCCAGGAUUAACGAUUACAGGGACCAAUUUUUAAACGACCCCCUAAUUACAAGGAUCAAAUACAUAUUUAAGCCUAAUAUUUAUAAGAUGCGUGUUGCGGCUAACAUUAAACACCAUAUAAAUUCAUAAUAUAUAAUCUAAUCUAAUGAACAAAAAUAUAUUCAAUACAUUAUGUAUAUGCUGCUUAGAGACGGCAUUUCUUAAAAUCCAACGCCAUAUGAUAUUGAAAACUUUAGAGUCUAUAGUCGUAUUAGGUUCAUAGAUCCUAUAUAAACUGAAGCCCGAAAGUCUAAAAAACACAACUCACAACAUUAGAACCAUAAUUAGUUAAAAAGGUUUGGAACAAGAAGAAUGGCUAAGUCAACUAACAUCUACUUUGCUCUAAUUUUUUCACUUAUUCUCGUUAUGAUGUUUAUUGUUGAAAGUCGACCAACACCAACAGGUAAAUCUAAGUUGAAAUUCAAAACAAGCUAGAGAUAAUGCAUAUUUUUAUUUUUAUUUAAAAAAAAAAAAAAAAGGGCUUUGAAUGGCCAAAUGAUGACUAUAAAUAAUAGUAAACCCUAUCUAACUUUAAUUUAAAUUUUGCAGUUGCAGUCCCAACAUGUGACACAAUUCAUGCUGUGGCAGAAGCUGAAACUUGCUCCAGCAUCGUUCAAAAGUUCAACCUACUUGAAGCACACUUCCUUGAGAUCAAUCCUAACAUUAACUGCGUUGGCAUCUUUGUGGGCCAAUGGGUAUGUGUUGAAGGUGAAGUGAAUUGAGUUUACUCGCUAUCAAAGUUAACUAGAUACAAGUCUAAUCGAAAUAAAUGUUCAAUAAGGAGAAACCAACCUUUCUCCAUGCUUGAUAUCAUUGUUAUAUAUCUAUCAGAUAGUGAUAUGUAAACUCUUGUUCUAAUGAAUGAAUUGUAAUGAGAUUACGCCGCUCUGUUAGUUAAGUGUAUUAUGCAUUGCCAAUUUACCAUGCAUUUGACUUUGUUGAGUAUCACUCAUAUAUAUAAGACACUAAAGAAUGCAAGCCAAGCUACGAGCGCUAAUAUUGUGAACUGAAUCGUAGAAGUAGUAUUAUAUAUAUUGUUUGUAACAUUGAAACUUUAAUUUCAUCGCAUCUAUAGUUACUCUAUAGUUGCAGAGGCAUGCAUCGUUAAUGACCGAACUGCG